UGAAUAUUAGGCGUACGUGGGUUUUCAAGAUUAAUUAAGAAAAAAAGGACUUUCGCUUGUUUCAACCUUCAAGGCCUAGCUAGUUUCUUUACUGGUGUACACUACUAUACGUAUUAAAAAUAUGUGAUAACCUAAAAAAUUGUUUAGCAACAAAAGUGAGUAGAUAAUCAUCACUUUAAUUUUCAGAACUGGUUUUAUAGGGAUAUGUUUGGAAAAAAAAAAACAAGGGCAAUGCGCAUUUAUGUAUGGUAUUGAAUGUUACUGUUGAAUAUUACUUUAAAAAAGAAAAGAAAAUGUAUUGAUAUAACGGUGUAUGACGAUGAGAUGUUAUUAUAUAUAAAUCCAUAAUUUCCUCUUUUUG
RNAcentral lists this long non-coding RNA (361 nucleotides) under Capsella rubella. RNAcentral's name for it is "long non-coding RNA (CRUB_LNC001316)". Lineage: Eukaryota; Viridiplantae; Streptophyta; Magnoliopsida; Brassicales; Brassicaceae. The record is from RNAcentral.